UACGUAGGGGGCAAGCGUUGUCCGGAAUUAUUGGGCGUAAAGAGCGCGUAGGCGGUCCGAUAAGUCGGCUGUGAAAGUCAGGGGCUCAACCCUUGAAAGCCGGCCGAUACUGUCGGACUAGAGUCCGGAAGAGGCAAGUAGAAUUCCCGGUGUAGCGGUGAAAUGCGCAGAUAUCGGGAGGAACACCAAUGGCGAAGGCAGCUCGCUGGGACGUUACUGACGCUGAGACGCGAAAGCGUGGGGAGCAAACAGG
Molecule: ribosomal RNA, 253 nt
Filed under: uncultured bacterium
Lineage: Bacteria
Description: partial 16S ribosomal RNA
Rfam family: Bacterial small subunit ribosomal RNA
Source: RNAcentral